Molecule: long non-coding RNA, 780 nt
Filed under: Lupinus angustifolius (narrow-leaved blue lupine)
Lineage: Eukaryota; Viridiplantae; Streptophyta; Magnoliopsida; Fabales; Fabaceae
Description: long non-coding RNA (LANG_LNC003659)
Source: RNAcentral
ACCAUGGGCUAAGCGCCCUAGGGAUAAAUUUUUUGUUCCUUACCAUCGGUUGAGCGCCCUAGGGACAAUUUUUUCAUUCCUAUCGAUGGGCUCAUUGCCCUAGGGAUGUGUUCUCUUCUAUCUUAAUAAGAUCACAGCUUUAUCAUUUAACUUGUAAUUGGCCUUAACAGUAUAAUAGGUGUCAAAUUUAUCAUGAUAUUUUAUUAUAUUGUAACUAAGGCUAUAUUUCCCCUAAAUAAGGUCUAUCAUACCCAAGGGGCAUUCAAAAUAUAUUAACACCACCAUAUCAUGUUCAUGCAUGUCAUGCACUCAUACAUUCAUCAAAAUAUUCAUUAUUCAAAUAAAAUUUCAUCAAAAAAAAAAAGAUAUAUCAAGCAUCAUUCAAUCAUUCAUAAAAAAAAAGGCCAACAUUGAACAUUCAUACAAGAAAUCAAACAUUCACUCAUCUAAUCGUACAAAAAAUAUAUCCUCUACUCAUGUAUGGAUUCAUCAUAAAAAAUCACUCAAACAUUGCAUUUCAUGCACUAUUACAUAUUGCAUUUCAUACAUCAUACCUUAUCUAAGAAGUAAAAAUAAAGUGAUUCAUGCACUUUCACCACUGACUAAAAAACAAAGCAAAAAAUCCUUUUACCAUUGCAUUUUCAUGCAAUAGCAUAUCAUGCAUUGCAUACACCACCAAAAUCUAUACUCGAAAAGCUUCAUACCCAUAUCAAAAUUCAUAUUCGUACAAUACAUUUUCAAUACCAUACACCCUCACAACUCCCAAAACACCGUCCUAAC